UACAUUUAAGUUAGACAGCAGGAGGUUUUCUGAUUAGUGACACCUCAAAAUCUACUUUAGAGACAACUGGCAGGGAAAUCUAUGCUGAGUGGAGAAACAGAGAAAUCUCUCUGGUAUUCAAAUGAUAAUUUCAGCUUAACCUGCCGUCACUUCAGCAGACAUUACUGAAGGAAAUCAGCCUGCGGGAAGGAUGACACGAUCAAUACGCCUGAGUUUGAGAAAUGUGAAACUUGUUCUCUGAAAUGUGAUGACAGACAGACUACUCCUCAGGAAACUUAAGUCCUUCAAGGAUGUCAAAAGCCAAGAAGAGCAGUGGUGGCCUAAAGGUUAGAGAAGCGAGCUUGUGACUGGAAGGUCGUUGGUUCAAUCCCCAGACUGGCAGGAUAAAUCUCAGUGGGGAAAGUGAAAAGCAGCUCUCAACCCCUCCCUCAUUACCACCACUGAGGUGCCCUUGACUACCAGCUGACAGCUUUCGCUCUUUUCCAAGCUCUCAGGACCUUUCAUUGAACAGUUUGGUGUCCUGAGGGGGACAUCAUAUCACGCAACACCUCAUUACUCCCCCGGCUGUGAGGGAGGACGGAGACAGACGGGGUCGAAACAAAGCCGACAAUUAGCCCCAGAAAAGGCCCUGAUUAGGAGUUUGUGGUCCAUUACCUUCCGCUGCUCACCCUCAUAGAAACAGCGAGGAGGAGGAGGACCUGCUCCCUGAGGGGCCACCGAAAAAAACACCAGACCAUUCUUUACUGGAGGAAAUAUAGAGAAGUUUGAAAUGAAACAAGUGGAAAUGAGCUGAAGGGUUUCUAGCACUCUGAGAAACUUUAUUUUGUUAAAAAGAAGAAUGUGGGUAAGAGGAAACAUAACACAAAUGUUUAAAAGUCAACAAGUUUAGAUUCACUGUGUUUUGAACUCAGGAUGAGAAGGUAACAGGACGGUAACUAACUACAGAAAGUCCACACUGAGAGUGGAACAUUUAACAAAUAUAACUUUAUCUUUGGUCGUAAUAAUGAUGGUUUAAACUCAUGUUUGCGUUGCCGUUUUGACAUUAGCAAAGUGUGAAAAAGUAGUGAAGCAUUUAACAAUGCUAAUGUUUAUUUGAUCACUUUUUAUAGUUUUGUCUUGUUUGAAGUCAAUAAACCAACACCACAGUCUCCAUCAAUAUAUAUUUACCAUCUGUGGAGACAAAACAAUUUAUAUCUGCAUUCAGUCAUAUUUAUCUGGAUAAAAGUCUGUGUUUCAGUAAUUUCUGCUCCUGUUGUUGAUCUCAUCGUUGAUGUGCACGUAUUUAUUCGUCUUUUAAGAAAAUUGUGACAUGUGACGUAUGUAAGCACUUUGGGGAAUAAAAUGCAGUGUAUAAGACACGAGAAAAUAGUGAAAACGCUUGUUUUAAUUUAUUAGAGCCAAAGCCACUUCAGAUAUCU
This is a long non-coding RNA of Thunnus maccoyii (southern bluefin tuna), 1418 nucleotides long. RefSeq lists it as uncharacterized. Lineage: Eukaryota; Metazoa; Chordata; Actinopteri; Scombriformes; Scombridae. The transcript is spliced from 3 exons. The record is from RefSeq and is a predicted model, not a curated record.